This is a small nucleolar RNA of Hydractinia symbiolongicarpus, 83 nucleotides long. RefSeq annotates it as small nucleolar RNA snR60/Z15/Z230/Z193/J17. Lineage: Eukaryota; Metazoa; Cnidaria; Hydrozoa; Anthoathecata; Hydractiniidae. The transcript has a single exon. The record is from RefSeq and is a predicted model, not a curated record.
UGCUGUCUUAUGAUGAUUGAAAAGCAUAGUUCAACAGAAUAAAUGAUGUUGAUCGAAAUUUUCGCCCCUAUCUGAAGACCUAG